GACGAACGCUGGCGGCGUGCUUAACACAUGCAAGUCGAACGGUGAUGCUCCAGCUUGCUGGCGUGGAUCAGUGGCGAACGGGUGAGUAACACGUGAGCAACCUGCCCCAGACUCUGGAAUAAGCGCUGGAAACGGCGUCUAAUACUGGAUACGAAACUGGCCCGCAUGGGCAUGGUUUGGAAAGUUGUUCGGUUUGGGAUGGGCUCGCGGCCUAUCAGCUUGUUGGUGAGGUAAUGGCUCACCAAGGCGACGACGGGUAGCCGGCCUGAGAGGGCGACCGGCCACACUGGGACUGAGACACGGCCCAGACUCCUACGGGAGGCAGCAGUGGGGAAUAUUGCACAAUGGGCGCAAGCCUGAUGCAGCGACGCCGCGUGAGGGAUGACGGCCUUCGGGUUGUAAACCACUUUCAGCAGGGAAGAAGCGAAAGUGACGGUACCUGCAGAAGAAGCACCGGCUAACUACGUG
This 468-nucleotide ribosomal RNA is filed under the name uncultured bacterium. RNAcentral's name for it is "partial 16S ribosomal RNA". It matches the Rfam family "Bacterial small subunit ribosomal RNA", at positions 28 to 507 of the family's 1533-position model. The record is from RNAcentral.